UAAGUCGCCGUUCUGCCACCGUCGGGCUUCUUGCCCCCGCCGAGGAGCUCGAAGGGAGGAAGGAGGGAUGUAUCGCCGCCUUCGUGCUCUGUCGCGGCGCUGCCGUCGAUUGGAGCUCGCCGCUGAGCUGCUGCACCGUCUCCAAGCCGUUGCGUCGCCGCUCAUCUCUUCACUGUCACUGCUCAACACCAUCGUCGUAUCCUCUGUCACCAGUUCGAAGGUGUGUAUGAUUUUGAUAGUGAUGAUGAACUAUAAUGGCUAAUUGAGAUACAGAAGGUGCUGGAAAUUUCAUACGUGCGUGCUAAACUAGGGAAAUCAUUCUGUAGGAAAGUGUCGAGCUGCAGGAGUUUUCAUUGGGUUCAUGCCCUCCUAGUAUGGGUCUUCAAGGGAUGCGUUGGUCAACUAUCAUUGAUCAGUAUUCAGGUGGUUGCACAAAAUGGCUAAAAUUCACAUCGCCAUCAUCUUAUUGAGGCUCUGCCUAGUAUGCAAUUCGGCAGGAUUUUAUUCAGACACAAAUGAAAUGACCAUUUUCUUGUUUCUAUUUACACCAAUCCUGGAUGGAAAAGCACUUUUGUAUUCAUUUGUAUCCUGAAUGGCCUGGUGUUUCUUCUUGGCUGAGAAAGCUUUUUGUGAGAGCCAUUCAAGAGCUAUGGCAGUGGUGGUCGCGGUUAUUGCGCGUGGUGGUGGAUACAGAGGAGGAGGAGGCGGUGGUGAUGGUGCUUGCUACAGCUGCGGUGGUAGGUACAAUGGCGGAGGCGGUGGUGGAAGCUG
Non-coding RNA from Arachis ipaensis, 771 nucleotides. Lineage: Eukaryota; Viridiplantae; Streptophyta; Magnoliopsida; Fabales; Fabaceae. The record is from RefSeq and is a predicted model, not a curated record.